AAUGAACGCUGGCGGCGUGCCUAACACAUGCAAGUCGAGCGGACAGACGGGGAGCUCUCUCCUCUUCCGUUAGCGACGGACGGGUGAGUAACACGUAGAUAACCUACCUAUAAGACUGGGAUAACUUCGGGAAACCGGAUCUAAUACCGGAUCAUAUAUUGAACCGCAUGGUUCAGUAGUUAAUCAGGGUUUUGCUGUCACUAAUAGAUGGAUCCGCGCUGCAUUAGCUAGUUGGUAAGGUAACGGCUUACCAAGGCGACGAUGCGUAGCUGACCUGAGAGGGUGAUCGGCCACACUGGAACUGAGACACGGUCCAGACUCCUACGGGAGGCAGCAGUAGGGAAUCUUGCGCAAUGGGCGAAAGCCUGACGGAGCAAUGCCGCGUGAGAGAUGAAGGUCUUCGGAUCGUAAAGCUCUGUUAUUAGGGAAGAACAGAAGUAUAAGAAAAUAUGGACGUCUUGACGGUACCAAAAGAAAAAGCACCGGCUAACUACGUG
Molecule: ribosomal RNA, 497 nt
Filed under: uncultured bacterium
Lineage: Bacteria
Description: partial 16S ribosomal RNA
Rfam family: Bacterial small subunit ribosomal RNA
Source: RNAcentral